RNAcentral lists this ribosomal RNA (253 nucleotides) under uncultured bacterium. RNAcentral's name for it is "partial 16S ribosomal RNA". It matches the Rfam family "Bacterial small subunit ribosomal RNA", at positions 524 to 776 of the family's 1533-position model. The record is from RNAcentral.
UACGGAGGGUGCAAGCGUUGUCCGGAUUUAUUGGGUUUAAAGGGCGCGUAGGCGGGCCAGCCAGUCUGUGGUGAAAGCCUCCAGCUUAACUGGAGAAGUGCCGUGGAUACUGCUGGCCUCGAGGAGGAUAGGGGCAUCUGGAACGGUCGGUGGAGCGGUGAAAUGCGUUGAUAUCGACCGGAACUCCGGUGGCGAAGGCGAGGUGCUGGGUCCUUUCUGACGCUGAUGCGCGAAAGCCAGGGGAGCAAACGGG